CAGCCGCCGCGGUAAUACGUAGGUCCCGAGCGUUGUCCGGAUUUAUUGGGCGUAAAGCGAGCGCAGGCGGUUAGAUAAGUCUGAAGUUAAAGGCUGUGGCUUAACCACAGUACGCUUUGGAAACUGUUUAACUUGAGUGCAGAAGGGGAGAGUGGAAUUCCAUGUGUAGCGGUGAAAUGCGUAGAUAUAUGGAGGAACACCGGUGGCGAAAGCGGCUCUCUGGUCUGUAACUGACGCUGAGGCUCGAAAGCGUGGGGAGCAAACAGAAUUAGAUACCCGCGUAGUCCCUGUCUCUUAUACC
Molecule: ribosomal RNA, 301 nt
Filed under: uncultured bacterium
Lineage: Bacteria
Description: partial 16S ribosomal RNA
Rfam family: Bacterial small subunit ribosomal RNA
Source: RNAcentral